GUGGGGAAUAUUGGACAAUGGGCGAAAGCCUGAUCCAGCCAUGCCGCGUGUGUGAAGAAGGUCUUCGGAUUGUAAAGCACUUUAAGUUGGGAAGAAGGGCAGUAAGUUAAUACCUUGCUGUUUUGACGUUACCGACAGAAUAAGCACCGGCUAACUUCGUGCCAGCAGCCGCGGUAAUACGAAGGGUGCAAGCGUUAAUCGGAAUUACUGGGCGUAAAGCGCGCGUAGGUGGUUUUGUAAGUUGGAGGUGAAAUCCCCGGGCUCAACCUGGGAACGGCGUCCAAAACUGCAUGACUAGAGUACGGUAGAGGGUAGUGGAAUUUCCUGUGUAGCGGUGAAAUGCGUAGAUAUAGGAAGGAACACCAGUGGCGAAGGCGACUACCUGGACUGAUACUGACACUGAGGUGCGAAAGCGUGGGGAGCAAACAGGAUUAGAAACCCGGGUAGUCC
Molecule: ribosomal RNA, 450 nt
Filed under: uncultured bacterium
Lineage: Bacteria
Description: bacterial SSU rRNA
Rfam family: Bacterial small subunit ribosomal RNA
Source: RNAcentral